AGUCGAGCGGUAGCACAGAGAGCUUGCUCUCGGGUGACGAGCGGCGGACGGGUGAGUAAUGUCUGGGAAACUGCCUGAUGGAGGGGGAUAACUACUGGAAACGGUAGCUAAUACCGCAUAACGUCGCAAGACCAAAGUGGGGGACCUUCGGGCCUCAUGCCAUCAGAUGUGCCCAGAUGGGAUUAGCUGGUAGGUGGGGUAACGGCUCACCUAGGCGACGAUCCCUAGCUGGUCUGAGAGGAUGACCAGCCACACUGGAACUGAGACACGGUCCAGACUCCUACGGGAGGCAGCAGUGGGGAAUAUUGCACAAUGGGCGCAAGCCUGAUGCAGCCAUGCCGCGUGUGUGAAGAAGGCCUUCGGGUUGUAAAGCACUUUCAGCGGGGAGGAAGGCGGUGAGGUUAAUAACCUCAUCGAUUGACGUUACCCGCAGAAGAAGCACCGGCUAACUCCGUGCCAGCAGCCGCGGUAAUACGGAGGGUGCAAGCGUUAAUCGGAAUUACUGGGCGUAAAGCGCACGCAGGCGGUCUGUCAAGUCGGAUGUGAAAUCCCCGGGCUCAACCUGGGAACUGCAUUCGAAACUGGCAGGCUAGAGUCUUGUAGAGGGGGGUAGAAUUCCAGGUGUAGCGGUGAAAUGCGUAGAGAUCUGGAGGAAUACCGGUGGCGAAGGCGGCCCCCUGGACAAAGACUGACGCUCAGGUGCGAAAGCGUGGGGAGCAAACAGGAUUAGAUACCCUGGUAGUCCACGCUGUAAACGAUGUCGAUUUGGAGGUUGUGCCCUUGAGGCGUGGCUUCCGGAGCUAACGCGUUAAAUCGACCGCCUGGGGAGUACGGCCGCAAGGUUAAAACUCAAAUGAAUUGACGGGGGCCCGCACAAGCGGUGGAGCAUGUGGUUUAAUUCGAUGCAACGCGAAGAACCUUACCUGGUCUUGACAUCCACAGAACUUUCCAGAGAUGGAUUGGUGCCUUCGGGAACUGUGAGACAGGUGCUGCAUGGCUGUCGUCAGCUCGUGUUGUGAAAUGUUGGGUUAAGUCCCGCAACGAGCGCAACCCUUAUCCUUUGUUGCCAGCGGUUAGGCCGGGAACUCAAAGGAGACUGCCAGUGAUAAACUGGAGGAAGGUGGGGAUGACGUCAAGUCAUCAUGGCCCUUACGACCAGGGCUACACACGUGCUACAAUGGCAUAUACAAAGAGAAGCGACCUCGCGAGAGCAAGCGGACCUCAUAAAGUAUGUCGUAGUCCGGAUUGGAGUCUGCAACUCGACUCCAUGAAGUCGGAAUCGCUAGUAAUCGUAGAUCAGAAUGCUACGGUGAAUACGUUCCCGGGCCUUGUACACACCGCCCGUCACACCAUGGGAGUGGGUUGCAAAAGAAGUAGGUAGCUUAACCUUCGGGAGGGC
RNAcentral lists this ribosomal RNA (1399 nucleotides) under Klebsiella sp. RNAcentral's name for it is "bacterial SSU rRNA". It matches the Rfam family "Bacterial small subunit ribosomal RNA". The record is from RNAcentral. Lineage: Bacteria; Pseudomonadati; Pseudomonadota; Gammaproteobacteria; Enterobacterales; Enterobacteriaceae.